Molecule: unclassified non-coding RNA, 689 nt
Filed under: Amphibalanus amphitrite
Lineage: Eukaryota; Metazoa; Arthropoda; Thecostraca; Balanomorpha; Balanidae
Description: coiled-coil-helix-coiled-coil-helix domain- containing protein 1-like, transcript variant X2
Source: RNAcentral
AUGCAAUCUGUGGCCAUAUAUAGUGCUUACUGCUUUAUAUUUAAAUCGGCCAUAAUAGAAGAUGCGAGGCUCAGCUGCCAGGUUUGUGGCCCGAGGGCCUGGCAGGGAGCCUGUUCCUUUCAAACCUGUCAAAGGUCUGGCACUCACCGAUCAGAUAACAGACAGAAAGGACCGAUAUGGAGCUUUGGCAUGUGUUCAGGAAAUGCAAGCUAUGUUCGCUUGCUGGAAGAAAUACGACCACAAUGAAAUUAAGUGCAGCAAAGAGCUUCAGGCCUUUGAAAAUUGUCAUCAAACAUAUUUGAAAGAGCGAGAUGCUUACAUGAAGAGGUCUACAUCAUCAGAAGGUGUUCUGGGACAUGGAUCCGGCCGAAAGCUAACCGCGCGGCAAGCGAACGUGCUACUGAAACAGUACCCCAAUCCGAGGUAGCGGACAUGACUGCAACGGAGCCGGUGCUUGUUUAGCGAGUCAGCGAUCACAACUAGUGAUGCUGUCGAGAGAUAUGACUCAACGCCGCGGACGUCAGCUUUUGCAACUUGUUUGCAACUUUGGUGACCUGCGACUUUUGUGUGAAUCUGAGCAUCGGUAUUGUGUAUUAUUGCAGUGUUGAUCAGUGCGAAUGUAUUCUCGUUUUUGGUGUCCUGGGCUUGACCUGUUACCAUUUGUGAAAUACAAUACUAUGUAGCAAUGA